RNAcentral lists this non-coding RNA (23 nucleotides) under Cricetulus griseus (Chinese hamster). RNAcentral also lists the same sequence under 1 other name. The record is from RNAcentral. Lineage: Eukaryota; Metazoa; Chordata; Mammalia; Rodentia; Cricetidae.
UUGCAAGGAAAAAGGACAUUGGG